This 429-nucleotide ribosomal RNA is filed under the name uncultured Rhodocyclaceae bacterium. RNAcentral's name for it is "bacterial SSU rRNA". It matches the Rfam family "Bacterial small subunit ribosomal RNA", at positions 355 to 776 of the family's 1533-position model. The record is from RNAcentral. Lineage: Bacteria; Pseudomonadati; Pseudomonadota; Betaproteobacteria; Rhodocyclales; Rhodocyclaceae.
UGGGGAAUUUUGGACAAUGGGGGCAACCCUGAUCCAGCCAUGCCGCGUGAGUGAAGAAGGCCUUCGGGUUGUAAAGCUCUUUCGGCCGGGAAGAAAUCGCACAGGCUAAUACCUUGUGUGGAUGACGGUACCGGAAUAAGAAGCACCGGCUAACUACGUGCCAGCAGCCGCGGUAAUACGUAGGGUGCGAGCGUUAAUCGGAAUUACUGGGCGUAAAGCGUGCGCAGGCGGUUUCGUAAGACAGAUGUGAAAUCCCCGGGCUCAACCUGGGAACUGCAUUUGUGACUGCGAGGCUAGAGUAUGGCAGAGGGGGGUGGAAUUCCACGUGUAGCAGUGAAAUGCGUAGAGAUGUGGAGGAACACCGAUGGCGAAGGCAGCCCCCUGGGCCAAUACUGACGCUCAUGCACGAAAGCGUGGGGAGCAAACAGG